This 212-nucleotide small RNA is filed under the name Phascolarctos cinereus (koala). Its description in RNAcentral is "DLG2 antisense RNA 1 conserved region 1 (ENSPCIG00000001582.2)". Lineage: Eukaryota; Metazoa; Chordata; Mammalia; Diprotodontia; Phascolarctidae. The record is from RNAcentral.
AUGUAUGUAUAUACAUAAAUAUAUAUAUAUAUAUAUAUAAUAUACCUCACAUAUACAUAUGUGUAUACACUGAAAAGAAAAAAACAGAGACCAGUUUUCAUAAAAAGAGGCUAAACCUUGAUUCUGACUUCAUGGCUAGCUAGAAAUGGAACUGCUGGCAUGGAUGGAUGCUGGGAAGUGUUGGGAUUUGGAUUCUAUCACCGGCCAUCUGG